UUCGCAAUGCCCGAAAGGGUGACGAAGCGACGCCGCGUGUGGGAAGAAGGCCUUCGGGUUGUAAACCACUGUUGGGAGUUAGGAAGUGUGGAGGUGUUAAUAGCGCUUUCACUUGACUAAAGCUCCAGAGGAAGCCACGGCUAACUCUGUGCCAGCAGCCGCGGUAAUACAGAGGCGGCAAGCGUUGUUCGGAAUUAUUGGGCGUAAAGAGCACGUAGGCGGCUAUGUAAGUCGGUUGUGAAAGCCUACCGCUCAACGGGAGAACAGCAUCCGAUACUGCAUGGCUUGAGUGCGGGAGGGGAGAGUGGAACUUCUGGUGGAGCGGUGAAAUGCGUAGAUAUCAGAAGGAACGCCGGCGGCGAAAGCGGCUCUCUGGCCCAUAACUGACGCUGAGUGUGCGAAAGCUAGGGGAGCAAACGGGAUUAGAUACCCCGGUAGUCCUAGCCGUAAACGAUGGGCACUAAGUAGAGGGGUUUU
This 477-nucleotide ribosomal RNA is filed under the name uncultured bacterium. RNAcentral's name for it is "bacterial SSU rRNA". It matches the Rfam family "Bacterial small subunit ribosomal RNA", at positions 365 to 832 of the family's 1533-position model. The record is from RNAcentral.